This 488-nucleotide ribosomal RNA is filed under the name Pseudomonas aeruginosa. Its description in RNAcentral is "bacterial SSU rRNA". It matches the Rfam family "Bacterial small subunit ribosomal RNA", at positions 11 to 495 of the family's 1533-position model. Lineage: Bacteria; Pseudomonadati; Pseudomonadota; Gammaproteobacteria; Pseudomonadales; Pseudomonadaceae. The record is from RNAcentral.
GUUUGAUUCAUGCUCAGAUUGAACGCUGGCGGCAGGCCUAACACAUGCAAGUCGAGCGGAUGAAGGGAGCUUGCUCCUGGAUUCAGCGGCGGACGGGUGAGUAAUGCCUAGGAAUCUGCCUGGUAGUGGGGGAUAACGUCCGGAAACGGGCGCUAAUACCGCAUACGUCCUGAGGGAGAAAGUGGGGGAUCUUCGGACCUCACGCUAUCAGAUGAGCCUAGGUCGGAUUAGCUAGUUGGUGGGGUAAAGGCCUACCAAGGCGACGAUCCGUAACUGGUCUGAGAGGAUGAUCAGUCACACUGGAACUGAGACACGGUCCAGACUCCUACGGGAGGCAGCAGUGGGGAAUAUUGGACAAUGGGCGAAAGCCUGAUCCAGCCAUGCCGCGUGUGUGAAGAAGGUCUUCGGAUUGUAAAGCACUUUAAGUUGGGAGGAAGGGCAGUAAGUUAAUACCUUGCUGUUUUGACGUACCAACAGAAUAAGCACCG